RNAcentral lists this ribosomal RNA (319 nucleotides) under uncultured bacterium. RNAcentral describes it as "bacterial SSU rRNA". It matches the Rfam family "Bacterial small subunit ribosomal RNA", at positions 478 to 793 of the family's 1533-position model. The record is from RNAcentral.
UUACUUACAGAAGUCACGGCUAACUACGUGCCAGCAGCCGCGGUAAUACGUAGGGUGGCAAGCGUUAUCCGGUAUUUAGUUGGGCGUAAAGAGAGUGCAGGCGGUUUUCUAAGUCUGAUGUGAAAGCCUUCGGCUUAACCGGAGAAGUGCAUCGGAAACUGGAUAACUUGAGUGCAGAAGAGGGUAGUGGAACUCCAUGUGUAGCGGUGGAGUGCGUAGAUAUAUGGAAGAACACCAGUGGCGAAGGCGGCUACCUGGUCUGCAACUGACGCUGAGACUCGAAAGCAUGGGUAGCGAACAGGAUUAGAUACCCUGGUAG